AUGGAGAGUAAAUUUGAAAUGUACAAGGAGGCCAUAAAGAAGCAUGCAUACAUGUGUGCAAUGGAUCAAAUUGAAAACCACUAUGUGCCAAUAGAGGAGUUCAUUGCUGAACAAGCAAAGGUCGAGGACAGAGAAAUGAAAAUACUAGAGUUGAAAGCAAAACUUGGUAAACUCAAUACCUUGCCUUCAGAAAGUCCUAAUUUAGACUCUGCAGAAGGGAACAUUGAUCCAGAUCUUAAAUGCAAUGCUUCAGAUGCUUCGCAGGGACAAUGUGAUGAGAGAGACAAGCAAAUAAGAUCCUUGAACUUAAAAAUAGAGAAAUUAAAUGAAAUGUUGCAAGACGCCAAUGAACUCUACAGACAAGCAAUGGAAGAAAAUAAUAGACUUAAGCAAGUGAUGAUGCAUAAGGUUGGUCACAUGGCUACUAAAGCUGCAUUUGACUGCUCUCUCUCUCUCUCUCUCUCUCUCUCUCUCUCUCUCAGCUAUUUCUCCUGCUUAUGA
Molecule: long non-coding RNA, 501 nt
Filed under: Podarcis muralis (Common wall lizard)
Lineage: Eukaryota; Metazoa; Chordata; Lepidosauria; Squamata; Lacertidae
Description: lncRNA (ENSPMRG00000008378.1)
Source: RNAcentral